Molecule: non-coding RNA, 213 nt
Filed under: Enterococcus thailandicus
Lineage: Bacteria; Bacillati; Bacillota; Bacilli; Lactobacillales; Enterococcaceae
Description: T-box sequence
Rfam family: T-box leader
About the family: Uncharged tRNA acts as the effector for transcription antitermination of genes in the T-box leader family. T-boxes are found upstream of many aminoacyl-tRNA synthetase genes and some amino acid biosynthetic genes usually in Gram-positive bacteria.
Source: RNAcentral
AGCAACACUUGAAAAGGAAUUAGUAAAAAGUUGGAAGUUUUAGAGAGCACAUGGUUGGUGAAAAUGUGUACGGACGCUUUUGAACUCGCCUUUGAGUUGCCUUUGCUGAAAAUAAAAGUAAGCAAUGGCGGUGACGACCGUUACAACGUUUGAGGCCUAUUUCCAAUGGAAAAGGUAAAAAUUAGGUGGUACCACGUAGAUUACGUCCUAUAA